AUUGAACGCUGGCGGCAGGCCUAACACAUGCAAGUCGAACGAGUGGCGGACGGGUGAGUAAUGUCUGGGAAACUGCCUGAUGGAGGGGGAUAACUACUGGAAACGGUAGCUAAUACCGCAUACCAUCGGAUGAGCCCAGAUUGGAUUAGCUAGUAGGUGGGGUAAAGGCUCACCUAGGCGACGAUCCAUAGCUGGUCUGAGAGGAUGACCGGCUACACUGGGACUGUGACACGGUCCAGACGCCUACGGUAGGCAGCGGGGAGGAAUAUUGGCAAAUGGGCGCAAGCAUGAUGCAGCCAGGGCGGGUGUAUGAAGAAGGUCUUCGGGUUGUAAAGUACUUUCAGCGGGGUGGCCUUAACCGCAGAAGAAGCACCGGCUAACUCCGUGCCAGCAGCCGCGGUAAUUC
This 406-nucleotide ribosomal RNA is filed under the name uncultured bacterium. RNAcentral's name for it is "partial 16S ribosomal RNA". It matches the Rfam family "Bacterial small subunit ribosomal RNA", at positions 30 to 526 of the family's 1533-position model. The record is from RNAcentral.